This 144-nucleotide microRNA precursor is filed under the name Gossypium hirsutum (cotton). RNAcentral's name for it is "MIR7502 microRNA precursor family". It matches the Rfam family "MIR7502 microRNA precursor family". Lineage: Eukaryota; Viridiplantae; Streptophyta; Magnoliopsida; Malvales; Malvaceae. The record is from Rfam by way of RNAcentral.
UAUUAAAAAUUUCAUCUAUUUCUACUAUAAAAAGCUAACAUAACUAAUAAAUAACCAGACAGUUACACUUGGUAUGCCACAUGCACCUUAUCUUGACAUACAUGAACUAACUUUUAACUGUAAAAAUGGAUAAUUUUUUUAAUA